Strigops habroptila (Kakapo) is the source of this 3524-nucleotide long non-coding RNA. RefSeq lists it as uncharacterized. The record is from RefSeq and is a predicted model, not a curated record. The transcript is spliced from 5 exons. Lineage: Eukaryota; Metazoa; Chordata; Aves; Psittaciformes; Psittacidae.
UCUGUUAACACUAUCAAACCAGAAUAAUGAUUGUGGAGUGAGAUAGAUUUAUCUUUUCAUUUGCAGGGACCUGCUAAUUAGGGCUUUGUUCCUACAAGCAUAUAUGACAGUACUGUUUUGUUUGCUGCUCUAUUUAGUUUGAUGCAAGUAUUCACAUGCAUGAAUCUACACUUUUGUGCACAGCCCCAAUCCGAAUGGGAUGCAUAGCUGGCUACAUAGUCAUGAUAUGUCAUGUGUUGCACGGCAGCAUAUGUCACACUUUGCAGUAAUAUGGGGAGUUUACCUAAAAUCUUUUGGUCCUUUUCCUCUUCCUCAUACACCUGUACGUAGCAAUAAUUUGCAUAAUCAAAGCCUAAAAUCCAGUAUCUUAAAUUUGUCAGUUCCCUGAGCUGAAGCUGCAAGGGCUGGAAAUGCCAAAUUCACUUUUUCAUUUGUGUAUUUGAGCAAAUCAGACUUGAGGACAUAGAGACUUCAACUCAGGGCUCUGUAAUGCAGUUUUUGUAACUCCUGUUCUUUUUAAAGAAAUAUUAUAAUGUUUUAAGGUACACAAUUGUGCCUACAGUAGGCGUGGCAUUGAAGUAUUACAGUAAAUAACAGGAAUUUGCCUUAAAAAUAGACAUCAAAAUCACAAUUAAUUUUCAUAUUAAAAGAGCACCCUAGAAGAGUUAGGGUUGAUAGUUCAAAACAAUUACAUUGGAGAAAUCUCAAAGAGAAUAAUUACCAAAGAUCUGAAAAAUGUGUGUUAGUAAAGGGCCACAGAAGAGAUUCAAUAGUAAAGUAAGCAACUUUACCUGAAAUGCCUAAAAUACGAUUUGCUAAUGGCAAAAGGUGAAGGAAACCAAAGCAAGGGCAGUACCUCCUUUCUGCGUCAAGACAGUCUUCCCUCAAGGACAUGAGCUAAAGUACACAUGGGCUCUCCCUCCUGUAAGUCUGUAGGAAGGGUGCUGAACAACAGGAUUGAUUUCUGCUGAAGCUGAUGGUUUCUUACAGAAAGAAAGAUUUGUCUUAUGCUAUCCUUGCAAAAAUUACAUCACAGGAUUGUACUUGCCAAGUUGAGCACAGUUAAAUAUGAAGACAAAUUAACACCUUUUCUCCUUUGAACAGCUGAGCUCCAGGAGGUCCAACUAACAGUGGUGACCCAGGUGGCCCAGGAAGUCCAAUGUCACCCUGUGGAAGCCAAAGGAACAGCAGAGACACAUUUUGUUCCAUACAACAUUUCAGUGGGACUCAGCAUGUCUUCCUGUUGUACUACAGCACUACACAUUUCUGUACUCAUUGAACAUGUUCUUGUACUAGUAACUGUAGAUAAAAGGUUUGUAUUGCCAUCUCUAAGCCUCUUUACUGUCUUCCCAGAUGAGCAAGGCUGAUGAUCCUAAUCCCCUCCUAUUCUCUUCAACCAUUAAAAAUAACAUUAUGGCUAAAAAGAUACAUGAGAACUCUGUACUCGUGGUUCCUGCUCUGAGUCUGCUGUGGAGAUAGUUACAGGAUUGUCAAAUCUCUUGUGUGCACAGUGUCUCUCAUGUUCCAGACCAAAGCCUUUCAGCACAAGGCUUUGUGAAUGCAAAGAUGAAAUUAUUGAUUUGCUAUGGAAAGUUGUGCAUGUUAGAAACUUGCAUAAAUUCCAAGUUGUCACUGGACAAAUUCACAGAAGAAAAAUCAAAUAUUCCUCAUUAGUUCUGUAAGUCCUGAGUAUGCUAAUAGGUGGAAACUGGGAGAUAAACUAUUACUAUGUGCUUCUUUUCUUAAACCUUUCCUUGGCAUCUGUUGCUGGACAUAGCAAGAGAUGAGAUUCAGUGACUGAUCUGGUACAGCCACUGUUACUGGAGAGUACUGUUGUGUUCUGAUUAUUCAGGCAGUGUCUGUACAGAAGGUAAUUUCUAUAUAAUUGCUAACUAACAUAUUGAUUGUUGCUUUUCAAAACCUCCAGAAUACACUUGAUUCCUGUAUGCAGCUCACUGAAGGAAUCACUUCUGCACAGAAUUAAUUGAUUCAAUAAUUUACUUCUCCUUCCAUUCUAAUGUGCUUAGUGUGAGCACACAGCUGCACAUGAAUGGGUUCCAGGAAACCCAGCAAGACUCUAUUACACUUCUAAUUCCACAGCAAUAAUAUAUUUAAUAAUAUUUGUUUUCUUACCGGCUCCCCCUUUUGUCCAUCCACUCCAAUACCUGGAUUUCCCUAAUUGACAGAAAACGUACACAGGUUGAAGAAAAUCAGAAAAUGCUGAAAUUAGAAUUUGAUCAAAUAACUCCUUUGAAAAACUUAGUAACAAAUAACCAUAGGGACAUUUCAAAUGUUUGUAUAAAUUACUCUUUUAUUUCACUCACAACUUCAGGAAAAAUCAUGGCCUACCUGUUCACCUGGCAAACCAGGGUAACCUGGAAUACCCUUUAAAAGAGAAUGAAGACAAGUUAGUAUGUCUGAUUUAGACAGCUUUGCUUUGAAAAUUACAUACUCUUGCUGGUAGCACCUAGAGGCAGAAUUUCCUCUUGGGAUGAGGAAAGUGCAAUUUACUUCACCUGGUCACUGCUUUCAGGAGGGCUGAACUCUGGCUUCCCACUUUCCUGACUCCCACAAGGUGGCCUUGGGGAAAGGGAAUAAGGAGAAAGCAGUAGCAGCAUUCCUCCAUUACCACAGACUGCCAGAUGAAAUGUGUUCACCCAGGCACGGGAAGGAACAAUAUAUGCUACAAUUCCUGAACUUCAAAACUCAUAAGACCAGCUGGUCCUGUAGAUCCCAAGGGCCCAAUCGGACCUUGAGCUCCCAGCUCACCAGGCUGACCCUGAAAAGAGUCCAAAGUCUCCAGCACCACCUAUCUGAGAUGCCUGGGUUAAACUGCAAGUCUUCCUGGCUCUACCAAUAUGCUGUAGCUGGACACUGUAUUUGAAGAACAGCCUCACAGAGACCUUUCAGUGAGGACACUGGAGUGAUCCUGUUCCUACUCCACAUUCUGAGCAGCCAGCAUUUUGUGGGGUCUCUGAUACAACACUACGGGAGUUAUCAAUGAAAUUACUUCCCAAGUAGAGAAAGUGGAGGAAAUGGAGGAAAGGUUUCACUGUCUGUUGGACAUAUCAGGAGAAAAUUACAAUUGUGGAAUUUAUGGGAGACCUAAGAGAAAGAGGCGAGAAAAAUCUCAAAUGAUGAAGUUGCUCUUUGCCUCUGAUUAAAAACAUUGACUGCUACUGCCUAGUGGAAAACCAUACAUCUUGCUUGGGAAAGAAGAGGCAGAAGAAAGUAUCAGUUAGUCCAGACUGGCACUAAAAAUUAUGUAAAAUACUUAUUGGGAUAUAUACUUUCACUGAUGACUUUCUCCCCUCAUUAUCUAUUCCAUAGUUCUUGAAUGAAUAUGUACAGUAGCACACAGUAUAUGCAGAGAUUUAACACAUCUUGACAUGUCCUAUGUAAGAAAGAGUCCAUGUAAGAGUCUUCCAUGUCCUACGGAAGAAAGAGUCUUUUUGAGCUAUGACAUAAGAUCAAAAGAUAAAUAGAAUAAUGUAAAACUAAUUCUAACAGGGCUGUAAUCCCAA